Molecule: long non-coding RNA, 395 nt
Filed under: Panax ginseng (ginseng)
Lineage: Eukaryota; Viridiplantae; Streptophyta; Magnoliopsida; Apiales; Araliaceae
Description: long non-coding RNA (PGIN_LNC001003)
Source: RNAcentral
AAGAUUUUUUGGACGUAAACCCUAGGAUUUAGAGAAUGUAAGGUGGAGAGGACUAAAUUGAAAAGAGAGAAAGAAAAUGGUAAAUUAACUUAAGUCUGGAGACAAACACAAACCCUAGAUUUUCAAAUCCAUGUAAGACUCCCGAACUAUUUCCAAACCAUAGAUUCCUAAUUAGCUAUAAAAAAAAAGGUUAAAACGAAGGUGAAACGUCGUGAUUUUGUUCUGGGAUGUAAAGCCCAGAUAUGAAGAAAGGGAAGAAGAAGAAGAAAUUGGGAGCCCAAGAUCUGAGAUUCGGAGACGAGAAAAAUGGGAGAUGAAAGAGAAUGUAGAAUAUCUGAGAUUUGGGUGAAAAAUAGAUUUUGCACCAGAACAAAUUAUUCAAAAGCUAGUAGGAU